UACGUAGGGGGCAAGCGUUGUUCGGAAUUACUGGGCGUAAAGGGCGCGUAGGCGGCACAGCAAGUCGGGAGUGAAAGCCCGGGGCUCAACCCCGGAACUGCUUUCGAAACUGCUGAGCUAGAGUGCGGAAGGGGCAACCGGAAUUCCCAGUGUAGCGGUGAAAUGCGUAGAUAUUGGGAAGAACACCUGAGGCGAAGGCGGGUUGCUGGGCCGACACUGACGCUGAGGCGCGAAAGCCAGGGGAGCAAACGGG
Molecule: ribosomal RNA, 253 nt
Filed under: uncultured bacterium
Lineage: Bacteria
Description: partial 16S ribosomal RNA
Rfam family: Bacterial small subunit ribosomal RNA
Source: RNAcentral